GCGUAUAUAAGUGUGUAGACUUGCAGAAAUAAAGAGAGAGAAGAUGCAUCCGAACUGAGGCGUCUUGUUGUCCUUGCGCGUUGAGGGCUAUAAAUGGCGCCGGCACCCGGGAACUAAAUAAAGGAAUCUUGCAAGGGGCAAAAGACUACCAUCCUGUGUUCGGAGGAAGGCAUUUCAUAGAGUAUGCCCUUUUCCAAGUACUCAACUCCUUUGAAUUGUUGCACUUGGCUUCAAGUGAAGGACCGAUGAGUGCAGUUUGCAAGGAGAAGCCCAUCGAGAGAAAAGAGAGCUCUGGCGAAGGAUGGUGCGUCCCUGGCGUGGUCUGGUGUCAGGCCGCUCCCUUGGCAGCUCCUCUCCAAAGAGGGACCCAGGAAUCUUCAUCUAGAACACAUGGCAAGUCGGGAAGAGAGAGCUGAAGGAUCACACAGGACGUUUAAGAGCCAAACUGAAGGCGGCUUACUUCGCUCCCCUACAUUACACGGAUAAAAGCCAAAGACACCCACACCUGCAAGGGAGGCUGGAAACGAAGUCAUCCCGGGGACCCAAGAAGAGCAAACAGGGCGAGGAAUGCAUUGUACCAUCUCUACCAGAAUCGGGUAGAGAUGGUAUUGGGAAAACUUAUUGACAAAAUCAAAACUCGCUAACUUGUGAUGAGUGGGACAAUAGGCAGCAUGUGGCCACUUACAGAAGCAACUAAUCCUGACUUUUCACAUACAACUGCUGAUCUCAACAGCAAAUCUAAGUCUAAAAAGAGCAAAAGUCCAGCCCUAUUUCUCCCUAGUUGUGUAAACCUCAGUAAAAUUGUAGAAUUUAUGCUGACAAUUCAGAUCUGCUAGUGACAAAUAAACCUUUCAUCCCUUUAAGGUCUAUUUCUUUAUGUCUCUCAAAGUGUUGUUGUUGUUGUUUUUUUUUUUUUUAAGAUUUUAUUUAUUUAUUUGACAGAGAACACAAGUAGCAGAGAGGCAGGCAGAGAGAGGGAGAGAGAAG
Long non-coding RNA from Mustela putorius furo (domestic ferret), 987 nucleotides. The record is from Ensembl. NCBI's taxonomy places the organism in Eukaryota, Metazoa, Chordata, Mammalia, Carnivora, Mustelidae.